CCUACGGGCGGCAGCAGUGGGGAAUAUUGGACAAUGGGGGGAACCCUGAUCCAGCCAUGCCGCGUGUGUGAAGAAGGCCCUCGGGUUGUAAAGCACUUUCAGUGAGGAAGAACGCCUGGUGGUUAAUACCCAUCAGGAAAGACAUCACUCACAGAAGAAGCACCGGCUAACUCCGUGCCAGCAGCCGCGGUAAUACGGAGGGUGCGAGCGUUAAUCGGAAUUACUGGGCGUAAAGCGCGCGUAGGUGGCUUGAUAAGCCGGUUGUGAAAGCCCCGGGCUCAACCUGGGAACGGCAUCCGGAACUGUCAGGCUAGAGUGCAGGAGAGGAAGGUAGAAUUCCCGGUGUAGCGGUGAAAUGCGUAGAGAUCGGGAGGAAUACCAGUGGCGAAGGCGGCCUUCUGGACUGACACUGACACUGAGGUGCGAAAGCGUGGGUAGCAAACAGGAUUAGAUACCCUUGUAGUC
RNAcentral lists this ribosomal RNA (465 nucleotides) under Vreelandella stevensii. Its description in RNAcentral is "partial 16S ribosomal RNA". It matches the Rfam family "Bacterial small subunit ribosomal RNA", at positions 338 to 795 of the family's 1533-position model. The record is from RNAcentral. Lineage: Bacteria; Pseudomonadati; Pseudomonadota; Gammaproteobacteria; Oceanospirillales; Halomonadaceae.